UACGUAGGUGGCAAGCGUUGUCCGGAAUUAUUGGGCGUAAAGCGCGCGCAGGCGGUUUGCUAAGUCCAUCUUAAAAGUGCGGGGCUUAACCCCGUGAUGGGAUGGAAACUGGCAGACUGGAGUAUCGGAGAGGAAAGCGGAAUUCCUAGUGUAGCGGUGAAAUGCGUAGAGAUUAGGAAGAACACCGGUGGCGAAGGCGGCUUUCUGGACGACAACUGACGCUGAGGCGCGAAAGCGUGGGGAGCAAACAGG
This 252-nucleotide ribosomal RNA is filed under the name Dialister succinatiphilus YIT 11850. Its description in RNAcentral is "partial 16S ribosomal RNA". It matches the Rfam family "Bacterial small subunit ribosomal RNA", at positions 524 to 776 of the family's 1533-position model. The record is from RNAcentral. Lineage: Bacteria; Bacillati; Bacillota; Negativicutes; Veillonellales; Veillonellaceae. RNAcentral also lists the same sequence under 1 other name.